GUAACAGUUUAAGCGCGCGGUUGCGGAU
Molecule: non-coding RNA, 28 nt
Filed under: Bombyx mori (domestic silkworm)
Lineage: Eukaryota; Metazoa; Arthropoda; Insecta; Lepidoptera; Bombycidae
Source: RNAcentral